This 253-nucleotide ribosomal RNA is filed under the name uncultured bacterium. Its description in RNAcentral is "partial 16S ribosomal RNA". It matches the Rfam family "Bacterial small subunit ribosomal RNA", at positions 524 to 776 of the family's 1533-position model. The record is from RNAcentral.
UACGUAGGGUGCGAGCGUUGUCCGGAAUUAUUGGGCGUAAAGAGCUCGUAGGCGGCUUGUCACGUCGGAUGUGAAAGCCCGGGGCUUAACUCCGGGUCUGCAUUCGAUACGGACAGGCUAGAGUUCGGUAGGGGAGAUCGGAAUUCCUGGUGUAGCGGUGAAAUGCGCAGAUAUCAGGAGGAACACCGGUGGCGAAGGCGGAUCUCUGGGCCGAUACUGACGCUGAGGCACGAAAGCGUGGGGAGCAAACAGG